Molecule: ribosomal RNA, 216 nt
Filed under: Wyeomyia luteoventralis
Lineage: Eukaryota; Metazoa; Arthropoda; Insecta; Diptera; Culicidae
Description: partial 16S ribosomal RNA
Source: RNAcentral
GAUCUUUAUUUUUAUUUUUUAUAAAUUAAAAAGAUUGAAUAAAUUUAUAAUAAAAUUAAAAAUUUUAUUGGGGUGAUAUUAAAAUUUAAAAAACUUUUAAUUUUAAUUACAUUAAUUUAUGAAUAAUUGAUCCAAUUUUAUUGAUUAAAAAUUUAAGUUACCUUAGGGAUAACAGCGUAAUUUUUUUUUAGAGUUCAUAUCGACAAAAAAGAUUGC